RNAcentral lists this ribosomal RNA (407 nucleotides) under Desulfovibrio sp. BBD-10. RNAcentral's name for it is "bacterial SSU rRNA". It matches the Rfam family "Bacterial small subunit ribosomal RNA", at positions 1002 to 1406 of the family's 1533-position model. Lineage: Bacteria; Pseudomonadati; Thermodesulfobacteriota; Desulfovibrionia; Desulfovibrionales; Desulfovibrionaceae. The record is from RNAcentral.
AGAAAUUAGGCAGUGCCCUUCGGGGAAUGCAGUGACAGGUGCUGCAUGGCUGUCGUCAGCUCGUGCCGUGAGGUGUUGGGUUAAGUCCCGCAACGAGCGCANCCCCUAUCCUUAGUUGCCAUCAGGUAAUGCUGAGCACUCUAGGGAGACUGCCCGGGUUAACCGGGAGGAAGGUGGGGACGACGUCAAGUCAUCAUGGCCCUUACGCCUGGGGCUACACACGUACUACAAUGGUGCAUACAAAGGGUUGCGAUACCGUGAGGUGGAGCUAAUCCCAUAAAGUGCAUCCCAGUCCGGAUAGGAGUCUGCAACUCGACUCCUUGAAGUCGGAAUCGCUAGUAAUCCCGGAUCAGCAUGCCGGGGUGAAUGCGUUCCCGGCCCUUGUACACACCGCCCGUCACACCACG